AAAAUGGAAAGGUGCGACCGGGCGAAUGUCUUCAACGGCCGUCCAAAGUAUUAAAUUUUUGGAAACUGACUGGUCGGUGGGACUUUCGUCCGUUUGAACCACCAUGGUGCACCGG
This 115-nucleotide microRNA precursor is filed under the name Phlebotomus papatasi. RNAcentral's name for it is "microRNA mir-278". The stretch from base 11 to 100 matches the Rfam family "mir-278 microRNA precursor family". Lineage: Eukaryota; Metazoa; Arthropoda; Insecta; Diptera; Psychodidae. The record is from RNAcentral.